Molecule: ribosomal RNA, 234 nt
Filed under: uncultured bacterium
Lineage: Bacteria
Description: partial 16S ribosomal RNA
Rfam family: Bacterial small subunit ribosomal RNA
Source: RNAcentral
UGGGCAACCUGCCCCUAGCUCUGGGAUAACUGCGGGAAACUGUAGCUAAUACCGGAUGUGACACGAGACUGCAUGGUCUUCGUGUGGAAAGAUUUUAUCGGCUAGGGAUGGGCCCGCGGUCUAUCAGCUUGUUGGUGGGGUAAUGGCUCACCAAGGCGACGACGGAUAACCGGCCUGAGAGGGCGACCGGUCACACUGGGACUAAGACACGGCCCAGACUCCGUACGGGAGGCA